AGCGAAGGGGUGGGGUGGGAUCUUGGUCCAGCUGGUACUGGAGCGGCGACAAUUUUGGCUAGUCUAAGAAGGGCAUUCGAGUGACCGUUGACAACGGGUGGGACAGCGUCAGAGCUGGAGGGAGAGCCAGCACUGUAUGCUUCCAGGACUUCUUGCUAGGUGCAUUAGUUUUUAUUUUUAAGAGUUGGGUAAAAGACAUUAAUUAGUUAGCAUCUCACUCAUCGGCGAUUUUCUACGGUAUGAUUUCAUCCAAAGAGGAUUUCUUAAUCGCACUGUGUGACACCGUUAGGGGACUUAGAGUGUCACUCGCCGCCUUAAAUCCUUUCGGGAACAAGCCAGGAUAUAAAUAAAUAAAGCUAGGUGUGGGUCUUCCCUUCACAAGGCGCUGGUAGGCAGACUAAAGACAGGCAACAGCUGAGUGUGCACACAGAACUAAAUAUUGAACGAAAUACGAGUGUCGGAAUAAAAUUCAUUGCCAUGUGCACGGCUUAUGAUUAUACAGAUCUUGGACAUAUCACGGACCUGAACGUCAACCCUGCAACACCGGAUAAAACAUCUAAUGUAGCUGGAAUAGACUCUGAAAGGACGUUAGGCAUUAUCUAAAUCAAGUCCCUCAUUUUACAGAUGAGUAAACUGACUCAGUGAAGUAUUUUGCUCAAGGUCGUUCAUCAAAUUAGUAGUUUAAUUAACUCAGUGUUCUAGGAAGCAGGGUAGUAGAAAAGCAUGGGAUUCGGAGUCUGAAAUCUUCCUUGGUUUCUGGUCCUUGUAGGCUGUUUUACAAGUGUAUCUUGGGCAAAUCCCUUAACGUCUUGCCAUUUAUUAAGGGCUUACUUACCACGUGGCAAACAAUCCACUUUGCAUGCUGUGUCAAUUACAUGCAGUAUGUCGUGUAGUUAUUACUGUCCCCAUUUUAUGAGGUAGUUUAGGUUUAAAGAUAUUAGAAAUUUACCCAAAGUUACGCAGUUAUAAACAUUGUAGUAAUUUCAAACUCAGGUCUUCGUGACUGCAAAGGCUGCUGUCUUAAGUAUUGUAAUACAUUAGAGCUCCGGAUUCCCUCCCACUCAAAACAGAGACUGAGACUCCAACCAAUUUCCACCAUUAUUGGGAGUCAAACGAGAGAGACUGUGGCAAUGUAUUCUAAGCUGUACAAAGGUAUAAACAUAUUCACUAGAUUUGUAGAAUGAAGUUAUUCCUUCCCUAUACUUUCCACUACAACAAUUCAGCCAAAAAGAUGGCUUUCAUACUAAGCAUAAGAAGGAACUUCACUGUAAUUAUGAUAUUCUAACCAAGAAUAUAUGCAUAUCUAGGCAAUAACCAAAGUGAAUAGAAUAAAAUUUAAUUCCUGAUAGAUUAAAUAGGCAAUAGCAAGGAAUGCUAACGCUCCUCAUAGCGUUCUUGUUGGAAGAAUCAUCUAGGAGGCAUUGGGAUUUCUGGUGCUUUUUAAGCAAUGAGAGAUAUCAGUCCACUGAAUGAGGAAGAGAAUAACGUUUAGUUUCGGACUAAAAGUUCAUCUGGACUACGGAAAACACGUUUGCCUCAAUCAGUGAAGAAGGUAUGCUGAGAGCUGAAAGAAAAGGAAAGCAGCAACAGUGAGAGCUCAGAAAUUCCCAGACUGUUUUGAUGAUAAGGUCCAAGAACUUGCCAUGUGAUCCAUCACUACUAGACUCCCACAACUGCAUUAGAUUUGUUCAGGAUUUUCAUAUAAUUUUCAUAACUGGCUAAGUUCUGAAAUAACCCAUCUUGAAGACAUAAACAAUGUGCAUUGAUGGCUAGCCAGACUCUGUCCUGCCACAGUUCUCCUCCUACUCUUCAUUUCUUACCCCAAGGAGUAGUAAACAUGAAUCCUGACCCACCAAUGCAGUCCCAGAACUGAGAAAAGAUUCACUGCAGCUAAACACAUUGGAAAUGGAUGGGGAGAAGGCCUGAUGAAAAUUACUGAGGAAGCCUCUUAGCCUAUGUGCUCUGAGAGUAGUGACACCUAGCAGUCGUUCAAAAGAUGAUCAAGAGGAGCAUGAAAAAAUCCCCUGAAUCCAUUGGCUUUCUUCCCUAUACUGACAACAGUUUACUUGUGUAAGAGAUGCAUGCCUCGACUCCGGACCCCUUCUUUCAUCUGCAAAAUCAGCAGCACCCUCACAUCAUCUCCUGUAACAAACUCUCUCUGUCUCCUCCAUAUAAGGUCACUGAUGGUUACAUUUAGGGUCCAUGAUAUAAGAAGAUGGAUGUCUAUUGCUUUUCUCUUGAUAUUCAUGGCACUGCUCCUCUCCAUCCAUAGGAUUAUCUUAUUCAAGUUGGUGUGUAUCUGCAAAGGCGAUGGAAAGGAGUUCUUACAUAUGCAUAUUCUGAAGAAGGAUGUUACCCUUACUGAAAAACUUAUUCCAAGAUAUGUUUAAUCAAUCAUGAGAAAAAUAAAGAGACAUCCUUAUGAAUGGAGAAUAAAGUCCUCAGGGUUUUUUUCUAAUUCCCCAUGUGAAUGAAGAGCUGUGUUAUUCUAAAUAUAGUGUUUGUCAUAAGGCAAUUGUGUUGGUUUGAGUCCUUAGUCGCUGUGACACUGAUAGAAUUCCUAUCUCCAAUUGGAAGGUAAGUUGACCUUGCCUCACUUUUGGGCAUUUACAAAGUAAAAGUGUCUUCAUAUUCCAGGUUACAAUCCUCAUAGAGAUGCAGGAAGAGUCCAAAACUACCAAGGCAGACAGAAAUGCACCAUUGAGCUCUGCUGUUGAAAGCAUCUGAUGGUGGCCCAUUCUGAUGAGACAUUGGACUUCCCUAGUAGGAAAGUUUGGUUUGGGGACUCCUGUCUUUCUGGCUCAGAUUUUCUUAGAGCUGCACUGCAGUCUGAGACUCUACCUGCCCCACUCUCUUUCUUUCCCUUUCUUGUCAACAACAUCAGUUCUGCAUUGCAGUCUGAAGGAUUUCUCUGCCUGAUCCUGCUUUCUCCUCUUUAUUCUUUGCAGUUGUUUCUAACUGCAGAAUCUCUUGAAAGUCUACUCCCAUCUGGCCGGGCGUGGUGGCUCAUGCCUGUAAUCCUCGCACU
This 3028-nucleotide long non-coding RNA is filed under the name Homo sapiens (human). RNAcentral describes it as "HSALNT0375907". Lineage: Eukaryota; Metazoa; Chordata; Mammalia; Primates; Hominidae. The record is from RNAcentral.